RNAcentral lists this ribosomal RNA (309 nucleotides) under Triticum aestivum (bread wheat). Its description in RNAcentral is "partial small subunit ribosomal RNA". Lineage: Eukaryota; Viridiplantae; Streptophyta; Magnoliopsida; Poales; Poaceae. The record is from RNAcentral.
AUGUUACAGAAGGGGAGCCUUGGCGCAGUGGUAAAGCUGCUGCCUUGUGACCAUGAGGUCAUGGGUUCAAGUCCUGGAAACAGCCUCUUACAGAAAUGUAGGGAGAGGCUGCGUACUAUAGACCCAAAGUGGUCGGACCCUUCCCUGGACCCUGCGCAAGCGGGAGCUACAUGCACCAGGUUGCCCUUUUUUAUUCAGAGGCAUGUUAAUUUUGGAGUAGAGUAUAUCUUGGAAUUGAUUCAGAUGCAUGUUAAUUUUGGAGUAGCUUGCAUUUUAUUCCACAGGAAUAAAAUUGAUAUACUCAAUUAA